This 358-nucleotide transfer-messenger RNA is filed under the name Maricaulis salignorans. Its description in RNAcentral is "Alphaproteobacteria transfer-messenger RNA". It matches the Rfam family "Alphaproteobacteria transfer-messenger RNA". Rfam says of the family: Bacterial tmRNA, also known as 10Sa RNA or SsrA, is named for its dual tRNA and mRNA-like properties. Its role is to liberate the mRNA from a stalled ribosome. The record is from Rfam by way of RNAcentral. Lineage: Bacteria; Pseudomonadati; Pseudomonadota; Alphaproteobacteria; Maricaulales; Maricaulaceae.
GCCCUUUAAACAUCGUGCGCCAUACCCUAUAUUGGCCUUGUCAGCUUGCUGACUAUGGCGAUAAACGCGCUCGUAAUAACCAGACCGGACCCGGGGGCAGUACCCGGCGGCUCCACCAUUACCUUCAGCUUGUAUUGGCAAGCGAUUAUGGGGCCGAAACAGGAUUGACGGAUGGGUAAAGGGGAAUGCUUUUGCCCGGGUGAGGCCCGAUACAGGCUCAUUCUUAAAGUUGCCAAUGACAACUUUGCUGAAGAAGUUCGUCUCGCUGCCUAGUCAGCGCGUAUAACUUCGCAUUAACUCCUGGGUGUUCGCACGCUCAGGCGGGGUCCGGAGGCACCUGGCAACAGAAGCCUCCACU